AUCAUCAAUGAUAUCUUUAAAAUAAAUGAGCUCCCAGGGACGGAAUAAUUUUAUGCUCUGAUCCAGCAAAGAACGUAAGCAUAUGCUUAGCUUUUAGCAGGGGAGCAGUGCCACUGAACUCAAUCCCUACCUCCAGUAAGUCAGAUACUCUGGAUCGCAACAAGAAACAAGAAGAGAAGAAGAAGAAGAAGAAGAAGAAGAAGAAGAAGAAGGAAACGGAACCAGCCAGAGCUCUGGCCAAAUACUCUUAGAAGUUUCCUGCCUUCCUCCUGUGGAACCUGACUGGCUUGCAGGCUCCAGACCUGCCUGGUUAUCCUCCCCUGAGAACCUAUGCAAAGAGAAGGGGAAGACUAAGGAGAACAAACCCUUCAUUGCCAGUGAUCAGACAGUGCCUCCCCAUCCUGAAACAGUGCCCUUUGGUCCAGUGAUCUCAAAGCACUUCGCAAACGUCAAUUGAUCGAUCCUCACAAAGCCCCUUGGAGGUUUUUCCAUGGAGCAACAGGGACGAGAGGAAGGCUGGAAAGAGAAAAGCCAUCCGUCGCUCUGUGGUGAGCAGAGCAUUCACGCUGAGGUCCUUCUGGCCGUAUGCUGGCAUGUCCGGGUUAAAGAAACAAUUUCCAAGAUCCCCAUUCCUGCACCGGGAAGGCCCCCUGACAGUCUGGCCUGUUAUAUCACAGAGAAGGCAACAAGAUAGAGACGCCAGCAAAGGAAGCUCAGAUCUCGGUGAACAAAGAAAGCAAUUAAAACAAGAUGCACCACUGCAUGGAUACGCUCCCGGAUUCCAGACACACAUUCCAAUAGCCGCUCAGUUUUAAGGGCUCUCUCCUGACUCUCUUAGCUGUCAUUUGCUAACUGUGAUGCAUGAACUCUCCCAGGACGUCAUUUUUGUUAUAUAAAGCCCUAAAUGGCCUGGGACCUCCCAACGUAUGAGCCUGUGAGUUGAAUGACCAUUGAGAGGGCUCAGCUCCUGGCAGGAUUUGGCCCAAAGACAUGGCAUACUGCCAUAGCUAAGGUCAGAGGGGCACCUCAGCUGAGGUGCUAUGGGAUAAAUAGAGGGCAGCCAGCAGGGCUUUUCCAUUAGGGCCUGUGGACUUUUGAACUUGAUUCCUUCCCAUGUGCAUAACUGCCCGAGUUUAGCAGCCUUCGGGGUGCACAGCAGGGCUCCUCUGUCCAUGAAGAGCUGUUCACAAGCUUAAAGUUAGGCACAUGCGUAGGUAUCUUGUUGAACUGGGGCUGAAAAGAAGAGUUAAGCCAAAGACAAAGACAUUUUCAUUGCACUAAAAACUGAUGGUUGAGGACUGCCUAGUAGAGUUGCCUCAUUCCUGGGUUAUGGUUAUGAGCAAGCGGUUUUGUUUAAAUGGGGAAAGCAAGGGACACAUACCACAAAGCUUCACUCCCCUCUGCAGCACAUCCACUCCUGCUAUGUGGAGUUUAUCACAAAAGAGGAACAUUUUUUGCAGGAGCCAUGUGUUAAGUUACUGGCAGGAUAUCACUGCUUUGAUCAUGCAUGCUCUUAGCCUUCUAAAAGUUAGCUCCCUACCCUCCAGUCCAGUCCCCAUUCCAGUUACCCUUCCUUGCAUUUUCAUAUAUUCAUACUCCUAACAUCCUUCCUAGAGUGGUGAGUCCCAAGACUGCACAUGCUUCUUCUCCAAGACUGGUUUGAGAGCUGGGCCAUUUCCAAGAAUACCUGCCGCAUCCAAACCAGGUGCUAGGAAGAGCUGGAGAAACUGUCUGUAGUGUUCACCAUUCCCCAUGUUGUCAGGAAUAGGGGCAGUCACAGACGAGCAUACACAGAUUUCAUACACCCUGGCCAAUUUGGAUUGUCACCAAAACAGGGGAUUUCUCAGACGCCGUCUACAGCUUUGUCUCACUACAGACUUUCAGAAAGUGCAUGUGCAGUUUCAGACAUCCUCUCUACAGUGCUUUGAAGGGGGCUCAGAUUCAGCCCGGAGUCCAGGCCAAUUCCUUCCAGCAUCAUCCCUGGAAAAAGCCCCUUAUCCUUACAGAGGGCAGCACUGGGAACUGGCUACAGUCUCCCCUCAACUGGAUCUGAGGGGGCAAUAGGGACCCAGCACAGACCCAGAAAAGCAGGUGGUGCUGGCCAUGCAGGGCCACAGGCAGUGUGGCCAAGGGAUGUGUUGACUCAGCUCUUACGCUCAUGCAUAGGUCCCACCAGCACUACUACAGAAGGGGGUAAUGUAUAUGCAAAGCAAACGGGACUUCAGCACAUGCUUUGCUGAAUUAGGGCCUUAGGUCUUGAUCCAAAGCCCACUGAGUCAGUCAUGGUCUUUCCACUGACUUCAGUAGACUUGGGUCAGGCCCUCAGUGCACACCCUGAGCCACCGCCCCCAGCAAAAGGAGCUUAAACCUCAGCAGGGGGGUCCAGGAAGGCAAUAGCACAUGCCCUCCUAUGAGGUGAAUCCUGCAGGGCACAUGUUGGCACUAGCAGGCCGCCAUAACUGCCACCUCUAGGAGGCAGCGUGGGUGAAUCUAGCCCGAAAUGCCUCAGAGAGAAAAAAAAUCACAUCAAUACCUUAUUUCCCUUUUGUCAUAAGAGAAGAGUUCUAACUCUCUCCUCCCAGAGAGCUAUUUCAAGGGCUACUUUGUAAAGAAAGCUCCAUGGUUGUAAUUCUCCCUGGAGCCAC
This is a long non-coding RNA of Mauremys reevesii (Reeves's turtle), 2645 nucleotides long. RefSeq lists it as uncharacterized. The record is from RefSeq and is a predicted model, not a curated record. The transcript has 4 exons. Lineage: Eukaryota; Metazoa; Chordata; Testudines; Geoemydidae.